UGAUGUCUAAGUUUGUGGAGAACUUGUUGCGUCUAACAAGAAUUGAGAAAGUUGUGAGUAGGGGUGUCAAAGGGCUGGGUUGGGCCUAAGUCUAAAGCAAGCCCAACGUCUGAACCUUAGGCCUGAGCCUGGCCUGGCAUGCAGUUGUGAGGCCCAAGCUCGUCCCAACUUAGGAUAUGCUUUCAGGCUGGUGGGCUCGGAACCACCCUAUUUAAUUUUAACCAUAUUUUCAGCCCAGGACUGGCCCAAAAAUUGUCC
This 258-nucleotide long non-coding RNA is filed under the name Elaeis guineensis (African oil palm). RNAcentral's name for it is "long non-coding RNA (EGUI_LNC026432)". The record is from RNAcentral. Lineage: Eukaryota; Viridiplantae; Streptophyta; Magnoliopsida; Arecales; Arecaceae.